RNAcentral lists this ribosomal RNA (2892 nucleotides) under Yersinia ruckeri. Its description in RNAcentral is "bacterial LSU rRNA". It matches the Rfam family "Bacterial large subunit ribosomal RNA". Lineage: Bacteria; Pseudomonadati; Pseudomonadota; Gammaproteobacteria; Enterobacterales; Yersiniaceae. The record is from RNAcentral.
AGCGUACACGGUGGAUGCCUAGGCAGUCAGAGGCGAUGAAGGGCGUGCUAAUCUGCGAAAAGCGUCGGUAAGCUGAUAUGAAGCGUAAUAACCGACGAUACCCGAAUGGGGAAACCCAGUGCAAUUCGUUGCACUAUUGCAUGGUGAAUACAUAGCCAUGCAAGGCGAACCGGGGGAACUGAAACAUCUAAGUACCCCGAGGAAAAGAAAUCAACCGAGAUUCCCCCAGUAGCGGCGAGCGAACGGGGAAGAGCCCAGAGUCUGAAUCAGUUGGUGUGUUAGUGGAAGCGUCUGGAAAGUCGCACGGUACAGGGUGAUAGUCCCGUACACAAAAACACACUGGCUGUGAACUCGAUGAGUAGGGCGGGACACGUGACAUCCUGUCUGAAUAUGGGGGGACCAUCCUCCAAGGCUAAAUACUCCUGACUGACCGAUAGUGAACCAGUACCGUGAGGGAAAGGCGAAAAGAACCCCGGCGAGGGGAGUGAAAUAGAACCUGAAACCGUGUACGUACAAGCAGUGGGAGCACCUUCGUGGUGUGACUGCGUACCUUUUGUAUAAUGGGUCAGCGACUUAUAUUUUGUAGCAAGGUUAACCGAAUAGGGGAGCCGUAGGGAAACCGAGUCUUAACUGGGCGUCUAGUUGCAAGGUAUAGACCCGAAACCCGGUGAUCUAGCCAUGGGCAGGUUGAAGGUUGGGUAACACUAACUGGAGGACCGAACCGACUAAUGUUGAAAAAUUAGCGGAUGACUUGUGGCUGGGGGUGAAAGGCCAAUCAAACCGGGAGAUAGCUGGUUCUCCCCGAAAGCUAUUUAGGUAGCGCCUCGUGAACUCAUCUUCGGGGGUAGAGCACUGUUUCGGCUAGGGGUCCAUCCCGGAUUACCAAACCGAUGCAAACUCCGAAUACCGAAGAAUGUUAUCACGGGAGACACACGGCGGGUGCUAACGUCCGUCGUGAAGAGGGAAACAACCCAGACCGCCAGCUAAGGUCCCAAAGUCAUGGUUAAGUGGGAAACGAUGUGGGAAGGCAUAGACAGCCAGGAUGUUGGCUUAGAAGCAGCCAUCAUUUAAAGAAAGCGUAAUAGCUCACUGGUCGAGUCGGCCUGCGCGGAAGAUGUAACGGGGCUAAACCAUGCACCGAAGCUGCGGCAGCGACGCUUAGGCGUUGUUGGGUAGGGGAGCGUUCUGUAAGCCGUUGAAGGUGGCCUGUGAGGGCUGCUGGAGGUAUCAGAAGUGCGAAUGCUGACAUAAGUAACGAUAAUGCGGGUGAAAAACCCGCACGCCGGAAGACCAAGGGUUCCUGUCCAACGUUAAUCGGGGCAGGGUGAGUCGACCCCUAAGGCGAGGCUGAAAAGCGUAGUCGAUGGGAAACAGGUUAAUAUUCCUGUACUGGGUGUGACUGCGAAGGGGGGACGGAGAAGGCUAGGCUAGCCGGGCGACGGUUGUCCCGGUUUAAGCAUGUAGGCGGAGCGACUUGGUAAAUCCGGUUGCUUAUCAACGCUGAGGUGUGAUGACGAGCCACUACGGUGGUGAAGUAGUUGAUGCCAAGCUUCCAGGAAAAGCCUCUAAGCAUCAGGUGACAUUCAAUCGUACCCCAAACCGACACAGGUGGUCAGGUAGAGAAUACUCAGGCGCUUGAGAGAACUCGGGUGAAGGAACUAGGCAAAAUGGUGCCGUAACUUCGGGAGAAGGCACGCUGGCAUUAGGUAAAGAGACUUGCUCUCGGCGCCGAAGCCAGUCGCAGAUACCAGCUGGCUGCAACUGUUUAAUAAAAACACAGCACUGUGCAAACACGAAAGUGGACGUAUACGGUGUGACGCCUGCCCGGUGCUGGAAGGUUAAUUGAUGGGGUCAGCCGCAAGGCGAAGCUCUUGAUCGAAGCCCCAGUAAACGGCGGCCGUAACUAUAACGGUCCUAAGGUAGCGAAAUUCCUUGUCGGGUAAGUUCCGACCUGCACGAAUGGCGUAAUGAUGGCCAGGCUGUCUCCACCCGAGACUCAGUGAAAUUGAACUCGCUGUGAAGAUGCAGUGUACCCGCGGCAAGACGGAAAGACCCCGUGAACCUUUACUAUAGCUUGACACUGAAUAUUGAGCCUUGAUGUGUAGGAUAGGUGGGAGGCAUCGAAGCGUGGACGCCAGUCUGCGUGGAGCCAACCUUGAAAUACCACCCUUUAAUGUUUGAUGUUCUAACUCGGCCCCAUAAUCUGGGGUGAGGACAGUGUCUGGUGGGUAGUUUGACUGGGGCGGUCUCCUCCCAAAGAGUAACGGAGGAGCACGAAGGUUAGCUAAUCACGGUCGGACAUCGUGAGGUUAGUGCAAAGGCAUAAGCUAGCUUGACUGCGAGAGUGACGGCUCGAGCAGGUACGAAAGUAGGUCUUAGUGAUCCGGUGGUUCUGAAUGGAAGGGCCAUCGCUCAACGGAUAAAAGGUACUCCGGGGAUAACAGGCUGAUACCGCCCAAGAGUUCAUAUCGACGGCGGUGUUUGGCACCUCGAUGUCGGCUCAUCACAUCCUGGGGCUGAAGUAGGUCCCAAGGGUAUGGCUGUUCGCCAUUUAAAGUGGUACGCGAGCUGGGUUUAGAACGUCGUGAGACAGUUCGGUCCCUAUCUGCCGUGGGCGUUGGAAGAUUGAGAGGGGCUGCUCCUAGUACGAGAGGACCGGAGUGGACGCAUCACUGGUGUUCGGGUUGUCAUGCCAAUGGCAUUGCCCGGUAGCUAAAUGCGGAAAAGAUAAGCGCUGAAAGCAUCUAAGCGCGAAACUUGCCUCGAGAUGAGUCUUCCCUGGGGCUUUAAGCCCCCUGAAGGAACGUUAAAGACUAUGACGUUGAUAGGCUGGGUGUGUAAGUGCAGCGAUGCAUUGAGCUAACCAGUACUAAUGAUCCGUGAGGCUUAACC